AGCAGUAGCCGCGGUAAUGCGAAGGGUGCAAGCGUUAAUCGGAAUUACUGGGCGUAAAGCGUGCGUAGGCGGUUUGUUAAGUCUGUUGUGAAAUCCCCAGGCUUAACCUGGGAACUGCGCUUGUGACUGCACAGCUAGAGUAUGGCAGAGGGGGGUGGAAUUCCACGUGUAGCAGUGAAAUGCGUAGAGAUGUGGAGGAACACCGAUGGCGAAGGCAGCCCCCUGGGCCAAUACUGACGCUCAUGCACGAAAGCGUGGGGAGCAAACAGGAUUAGAUACCCCAGUAGUCCCUGUCUCUUAUAC
RNAcentral lists this ribosomal RNA (303 nucleotides) under uncultured bacterium. RNAcentral describes it as "partial 16S ribosomal RNA". It matches the Rfam family "Bacterial small subunit ribosomal RNA", at positions 507 to 807 of the family's 1533-position model. The record is from RNAcentral.